GAUAGGCUAAUUAAGAGCGUAAGGGGGAUACCUUGGCUCUCAGAGGCGAUGAAGGACGUGAUAAGCUGCGAAAAGUUACGGGGAGUGGCACAUACAUUUUGAUCCGUAAAUGUCCGAAUGGGGAAACCCGAUUAUUUGAAGAAUAAUCAUCCAUACUUGUAUGGAAGCAGACCCGGAGAACUGAAACAUCUAAGUACCCGGAGGAAUAGAAAACAAUAGUGAUUCUGCUAGUAGCGGCGAGCGAACGCGGAAUAGCCCAAACCUAAAUUG
RNAcentral lists this ribosomal RNA (270 nucleotides) under uncultured Flavobacteriaceae bacterium. RNAcentral's name for it is "partial 23S ribosomal RNA". It matches the Rfam family "Bacterial large subunit ribosomal RNA", at positions 1 to 282 of the family's 2925-position model. The record is from RNAcentral. Lineage: Bacteria; Pseudomonadati; Bacteroidota; Flavobacteriia; Flavobacteriales; Flavobacteriaceae.